AAUGCACCAACUUGUAAGUAGCUCUGGAUAAGAGCGUCUGCUAAAUGACUUAAA
Molecule: non-coding RNA, 54 nt
Organism: Salmo salar (Atlantic salmon)
Lineage: Eukaryota; Metazoa; Chordata; Actinopteri; Salmoniformes; Salmonidae
Source: Rfam